Neogobius melanostomus (round goby) is the source of this 1829-nucleotide long non-coding RNA. The record is from Ensembl. Lineage: Eukaryota; Metazoa; Chordata; Actinopteri; Gobiiformes; Gobiidae.
AUGCCCGCUGAAGCCGAUGCCCUGCUCACCCUCAUGAACGUGUGCACCUCUGCGGACGCCCGUCUACCCGAGCCCGGCGGAGAGACGCAUGCCAGUUUAGAUAUAGCGCAACACGAGGCCGAUAUGAAGAUGAAAGAGGCGGCCCUCACACUGCUCUCAAUGGAUCCAGAUAGCACAGUGUCCUCUGAUCUCAUUGGCCAAGAAGGACUGAAGCAGCAAGAACCAAUGGAGACGGGUGCGGCGGAUGCAGUAGAGCACGCAGCACCUGCAGAAGAAUCUCAAGAUCAAAUGGAGCAAGAGACUGAAGUUACAGCAGCUGGGUCUGAAUGCACAACCGCAGAAACGCCACAAGACGUGAUUUCAUCUCAGGGCGAGGACACCGCACUUCAUCAGACUCCAAGUGAAACUGAAACACAGGCGCCUGAUGUUGUUGCACAAGAAAAGAAAGUGCAAGAAGCUGCAAGCGCUGACAAAGAAGAAGUUGGAGAAAAAGCUACAGCAGAGAGUGAUUCGUCGACAUUGACGGCCUCUGAACACGGGCCAAGUAAGCUUGACGGUGAUAAGAAAUCCACACAAGAAGACGAGGGGAGUUCUGAAGAGCACAAGAUGGACAUCGUUACAAGUGAGACUGAAACUAACGAGGUAACGACUGCAGCCAUACAAAGUGAAUUAGAGCUAGAGCAGCCGGAUGUUCAAAAACCUGAAAGCUCAAUUCAAUGCCAAUCUGAUCUUGUCCAACAAUUAAGUAUUUUGUCCAGUGCAGACAGUCAAGACGAAAAGGACGACGAAAAGGUGGGGGAAGCUUUGGGGAGAGGAAGACGCAAGCGAAAGUUGUCUCGUAAAGCUUCAGAAGCUGGUGAUGGGAAAGGAAAGGAAAGCCAAGACGAGGAAAAUGUGGUCAAAACCCCACAGAGGGGACGCUCAACAAGGACGGAAGAGGCAGAGAAAGUAGAGGAGACACAGACCUGCAGAGAACCACACUCUGCAAAAGAGGCCAUGGACGAUAAAACCGAAGCUCAGGACAAGGACAAUGUGGAACAAUCUACAUUGGAUGAAAAAGAGGACGAGAAGCAGAGUGAAGAUGAAAAUGCAAAGUCCGGUCACACUGGCACAGUUGGCGCUUCUCCAGAUCACAGCGAAAGUGCUGAAACCUGCAAAGGAGCCGCUGAUAUUGAUACCGCUAAACCUUCAGCAAAGAGGGAUUUCUCUGAAGAAACGACAGAGGAAGCCACCUUUGAAGACGACAUUAAAGAUGAUACAAAGCAAGACACCACACAAAAAAUAAUUCAUUCCCCUUCAGGCAGCCAGAUAGAGGAUCAAGCAGAGACUCCACAUGAGAACACUGAAAAGCAGGAAGACACUGAGGACGAACAACUGCACGAGGGUCAAGACGCAACCCCCACGAGAGCGGGACGGAGAGGAAGACCGCCUAAAGUAACCGCUUCAGCUGAGGAUUCAGGCACGAAAGCAGAGGACACGGGUGCAAACUUUUUCUUUAUCACCUAAAGACACAUCAAAUGAAAUCUAUAAAAAAAUAAUCGAUAUGAAAAAGCAUUGUUACGAAGACAAAGAAAACCGCAUACAUUUACACAUUAAGUGAGCGCAUGCUUCAGGUCAGGGGCUAUAAUCAAUGGUAUCAAAAGUAAUAAGAAAGAUGUUAAGCCUCUCUAAUAUAUUACCCACUAUUACCAUUAUUAUUUAAUAUUUAUGCUAAACAAACCUAUGUUUAAUAAACAUACAGUGGGGAAAAAAAGUAUUUAUUCAGCCAACAAUUGUGCAAGUUUUCCCACUUAAAAAGAUGAGAGAGGCCUGUAAUUUUCAUCAUAGGU